RNAcentral lists this ribosomal RNA (523 nucleotides) under Trigonopterus luwukensis. RNAcentral's name for it is "partial 16S ribosomal RNA". The record is from RNAcentral. Lineage: Eukaryota; Metazoa; Arthropoda; Insecta; Coleoptera; Curculionidae.
GCUCACACCGGUUUAAACUCAGAUCAUGUAAAAUUUUAAAGGUCGAACAGACCUAAAAUCUUAGCUUCUGCACCAAAAUUUAAUUUUAAUCCAACAUCGAGGUCGCAAUCUUCUUAUUCGAUAAGAACUCUAAAAAAAAUCACGCUGUUAUCCCUGAGGUAAUUUUAUCUUCUAAUCUUUAUUUAAGGAUCAAGCAAUCAUAAAUCAAUGUAGAAUACAAAAAAAAGUUAACUAAAUUUUUCUGUCACCCCAACUAAAUACAUUAAAAAAUACUAAACUUCUAAAUAAAAAUUUAAAUAUAAAAAAAUAUAUGAAACUCUACAGGGUCUUCUCGUCUUCUACUCCUAUCUAAGCUUUUUCACUUAAAAAUAAAAUUCUACCAAACUCUAACAGAGACAGUCAUUUUCUCAUAAAACCAUUCAUACAAGCUUUCAAUUAAAAAACUAAUGAUUAUGCUACCUUUGUACGGUCAAAAUACCGCAGCCAUUCAAUUACUCAUUGGGCAGGCCCGACUUGAAAUUAU